Long non-coding RNA from Megachile rotundata (alfalfa leafcutting bee), 289 nucleotides. Lineage: Eukaryota; Metazoa; Arthropoda; Insecta; Hymenoptera; Megachilidae. The record is from RefSeq and is a predicted model, not a curated record.
CGAACGACGCGUCGCCGAAGCAUCUUCGGCCCGACCGCAGGCUGCCUGUAACCAACCGAGGACAAUAACGAUCGAUCGUUUCUUUUCUUCGAAACGUCGCGGUCAACGCUGUCCGUUCAACGAACACGCUAUGGCACUAUUGUAUACCGUGUACGCGUUCUGUCCGGUAACGAGAGAUUCGUUUGCUUUGGUACGAUGUCGCUUGUCGUCGCUGUCAUACUCGUUCGUUUCUUUCUUCCGCUCGGAUCUCCCGUUUCCCUUCCGAGGCUGUGAACGUGACCGUGACCAA